CCUACGGGUGGCUGCAGUGGGGAAUAUUGGACAAUGGGGGCAACCCUGAUCCAGCCAUGCCGCGUGUGUGAAGAAGGCCCUCGGGUUGUAAAGCACUUUCAGUGAGGAAGAACGCCUGGUGGUUAAUACCCAUCAGGAAAGACAUCACUCACAGAAGAAGCACCGGCUAACUCCGUGCCAGCAGCCGCGGUAAUACGGAGGGUGCGAGCGUUAAUCGGAAUUACUGGGCGUAAAGCGCGCGUAGGUGGCUUGAUAAGCCGGUUGGGAAAGCCCCGGGCUCAACCUGGGAACGGCAUCCGGAACUGUCAAGCUAGAGUGCAGAAGAGGAAGGUAGAAUUCCCGGUGUAGCGGUGAAAUGCGUAGAGAUCGGGAGGAAUACCAGUGGCGAAGGCGGCCUUCUGGACUGACACUGACACGGAGGUGCGAAAGCGUGGGUAGCAAACAGGAUUAGAUACCCUUGUAGUC
This 465-nucleotide ribosomal RNA is filed under the name Vreelandella stevensii. RNAcentral describes it as "partial 16S ribosomal RNA". It matches the Rfam family "Bacterial small subunit ribosomal RNA", at positions 338 to 795 of the family's 1533-position model. The record is from RNAcentral. Lineage: Bacteria; Pseudomonadati; Pseudomonadota; Gammaproteobacteria; Oceanospirillales; Halomonadaceae.